AUAUAUGAGAUUGGACCUUCAAUUUACGCUCUUUCUGAAAAAGCCAAUUUACGAGACCGUCAUGCCGCUUCUUAUUCAUAUACGUUCUUUGUCGCUUCUUAUUCAUAUACGUUCUUUGAUAUUGGUCGACGAAAAAUGUGUGAAGAGGACACGAAACCCUGAAAACGGCUCUACCGCUUUUGCACAAAUACCGUAUGAGUCUUGUCGCUUCUUAUUCAUAUACGUUCUUUGGUAAUAAUCGGAAGUAGUGUUGUUAAGUUCGUUGAACCAGCAGUUAAGAUAAUGGUACUAUUUACGAAAUUACUCAGAUACUUUUUCACCUCUUACGAUAAUAGAAGAAGUGAGACCAUUUUACCACGAACAGCGAAACGAUCAAAAUUAUUUAAAGAAGGGGGAUAAUUUACUGUUAAUUGCCAACAAGUAUAUAGAGAGAACUGUUUAGUGAGAGCACGAGCUCAUUGCUCACACAAACAGUUUUGCCAAUAUAACAGUUUGAAAUCGUUUAAGAUACUAAAGUAAAAAUGAAGACUGCAAUGUAGAUUUUUUCUUUGGCGGAAACUUGUAUUGUCAGAGAUUUGAGGUAUUAAAAGGGAAAUUUUACUCCAAAUUUUAAGAAGUUGGUAUCGUUGGAAUGAUAAUCUGUUUUCAAGGAAAAAUAUUAUUUUUUUAUGCCUCAGAAUAAGGUUAAUAUUCUUGUACCUACACCACAACCACCUUUAAAAUUUUUCACUCUUCCUAAAAUUUUGAAGCUGUAAAUUUUCAUAAUUUAUUUUGUAAUUUUAUUUUUUCUCAAAAGCUAGCGAACAUCGAAUUGAGUGUCCAGUUGUACCUUAAGUAUAAUUUCAUCAUUGUUACCAUGAAGCAAGGUGAAUUAAAAUCGCCUUGGCAAGAAA
Ceratitis capitata (Mediterranean fruit fly) is the source of this 893-nucleotide long non-coding RNA. RefSeq lists it as uncharacterized. Lineage: Eukaryota; Metazoa; Arthropoda; Insecta; Diptera; Tephritidae. The transcript has 2 exons. The record is from RefSeq and is a predicted model, not a curated record.